Long non-coding RNA from Photinus pyralis (common eastern firefly), 406 nucleotides. RefSeq lists it as uncharacterized. The transcript is spliced from 2 exons. Lineage: Eukaryota; Metazoa; Arthropoda; Insecta; Coleoptera; Lampyridae. The record is from RefSeq and is a predicted model, not a curated record.
AGGUAAGUUUUUAAAUGAGCUUAUAUGCAAGUCAAUGAUUCCGUCGUCUGUAUAUAAGCAAAGGAUUGGAAUAGAGUGAGCAUUGUGAAGCUUUUCCAAUACUAAGCAAACAUGAAAUACAUCUUCGUUGUCUUGAUCGCCUUCGCGCUCUUCUACAAUGCGAUAGCUCAAGAAGCCUGCGAUCCCGCGGGUCAAGAGCCCGGAUGCGAGUGCACUCAAGGUGAAGCAUUCUGGACCCAAACCGACGAGGGUUGUGUGUUUAGGUGCAAGGAUGGGGAUAAUCUCAACGAAUGUGAGGCCACGGAGUAGGUACAAAGACAAGUUUUUCGAGGUGUGCCACUGGUACACACUGUAUUUUAGUGAUUUGGUGUGAAGUCUGUUUAGAAUAAAGGUUACCUUGCAUUAA